This 493-nucleotide ribosomal RNA is filed under the name uncultured bacterium. RNAcentral's name for it is "partial 16S ribosomal RNA". It matches the Rfam family "Bacterial small subunit ribosomal RNA", at positions 30 to 523 of the family's 1533-position model. The record is from RNAcentral.
AUUGAACGCUGGCGGCAUGCCUUACACAUGCAAGUCGAACGGUAACAGGUUAAGCUGACGAGUGGCGAACGGGUGAGUAACACAUCGGAACGUGCCCAAUCGUGGGGGAUAACGUAGCGAAAGCUACGCUAAUACCGCAUACGAUCUACGGAUGAAAGCGGGGGAUCGCAAGACUUCGCGCGAAUGGAGCGGCCGAUGGCAGAUUAGGUAGUAGGUGAGGUAAAGGCUCACCAAGCCUGCGAUCUGUAGUCGGUCUGAGAGGACGACCAGCCACACUGGGACUGAGACACGGCCCAGACUCCUACGGGAGGCAGCAGGGGGGAAUUUUGGACAAUGGGCGAAAGCCUGAUCCAGCAAUGCCGCGUGCAGGAUGAAGGCCUUCGGAUUGUAAACUGCUUUUGUACGGAACGAAACGGUCCUUUCUAAUACAGGGGGCUAAUGACGGUACCGUAAGAAUAAGCACCGGCUAACUACGUGCCAGCAGCCGCCGUAA